AAGGGGACAAUUGAUACACUUACUUUGUUGACUGAAAAAUUUGGAAAGAGAGCUGGUAACAUGAAGAUGGCCUCUCUUGCUACAUAUUUUGGCCUUGGAGAGCAAACACAUAGAAGUUUGGAUGAUGUCCGAAUGAAUUUCGAAGUACUAAAGCACUGUGCAACUGUCUUGUUUUUGGAAUCUAGCCUGCCUGACGUAUUAACCAAUAACAGUUGGGUGUCUCCUAAUGCUUCCAUAAGAAGUCGUGCUAAUGGAAAUACUAAUUCGGAGGGGAUGGGCUUGAGUAUAGAUACACCUUCAUCAAGUGUCAAGACAGGACGUCCUAUGAAAUCUGUUGCAGAAGCUUACAUAGAAUCAGACAAUCCAAUACUUCCGCUUGUGAGCAGAAAUAUGGAGGAGGUACCAGAUCUUAUUGAAACAAAUUCCUCGAGGCCUGACCCUUUUAACUUGGUCCAAUUCAGUGCAGAAGUAAGGGAAUCCAUUCAAUUAGAUGCAAUGGAAGAAGAACCUGCUUCAUGUUCUCAAGAUUUUUCUGCAUCAAUUGCAACAGAGGGUUACAUUGGCUUCACAGACUUCUUAGAACCAAAUAAAAUUUCAAUUUCUUCUGUCUCCUCAAUUCUUUCCCCCAUACAUCGUGGAAUGCCGAAGAUACAAAUCUUGCACAACAAUACUGAGUUGCAAGUUUGCUCUAAAUU
Molecule: unclassified non-coding RNA, 695 nt
Filed under: Hevea brasiliensis (rubber tree)
Lineage: Eukaryota; Viridiplantae; Streptophyta; Magnoliopsida; Malpighiales; Euphorbiaceae
Source: RNAcentral